UGAAUGUGGAGUGGAGCUUUUUAAGAUAUAAAAAGAACCCACCUAGUUGUGUGUAAUUUUACUAUUGCCAAAAUUUUCUAUUAUUCCAGUGAUUAUAUGGUGUUCAAUGAUGAAGACAAUAUUCGCCAUACAUUUGUUAUGGUUGGAGCUCAACUUCAACCAAAACUUAGCUAAAUUACUCUCUGGAACAUGCAUCAGCUGAAGCCAGCUGAUUGAUAACCAAUUCAAAGAAGAAAACUAGAAAUUGGGGUGGGGAAAAUGAUGAUAAAUAGAGAAGACAACAUAAAAUUCAGAUUGAAAGAAGAAGAAGAACAGCGAAGCAAAGAGAAAGGGGGGAAUUCGGUUUUGCACCAAAUCUUUCAAUAUUCAUCCCUAACUAUAUAUAGACCUAAAAACCCUAAAAUUAAAGGGCUUGGGCUAGCCCACUAAUAACACAAGCCCAAUUGAAUAAAAUAAAAGUAAAUGGCCCAAGCCACUUACUUUUAGGGUUGUUUAGGUCUAUAUAUAGUUGUAUCUCUACAUUUGGAAGAAAGGGAUGAAUAUUGAAAGCUUUGGAGCAAAACCUAAUUCCCCCCUUUCUCUUUGCAGUCUAUAACAUCAGAGUUAGAUACUUUUGUAUUGCUUUCCACCAUUUGAAAUUCCAUUGGCUCAACCCGCUCUACUUCCUCAUUUUCAAACUUCUCUCUCUCACCUAUCUCUAGCUCAAUCUCUGUCUCUCUCGGUUUUAGCAUUUAAUGCCUCUGAUGCCUCCCUCACAGCCACUGUUCCCACUCUUAUAUCAGCCACUAGAACCAAUUCUUCUAUCUCAUUUUCAUGAUCAUCCAACAAAAUUCUUGAACCAUCAUAAUUUUGGGAUUCUUCUUCAAUAGUUUCUGACCCCAGGAUGACUGGAAAUGAAUCCAUAAAACCAUAUGUCUGCCUUCUCCUUCAAGUACAUCUUUGCAACUCCCAAUCUAAGUUGAUCAGGAAUUUGAUGGAGUUGAAAAUAUUCCAUAGCUUCCCUCAACCAUUCCCUGGGCCGUUCUCCCCCAAAUUGGGAAAAAUCUAUUCUAGGGAAUCUACUAUUUCCCUUGAAUUCCCCUAUAGGACGAACAUGAUUCUCGCUACUACUAGCCCAUUGUGUAGUUAUCACACUCCCAGAACUGAAAUUAACAUUAGGCACCUCUAUUCCUUUAUUUUUCUGAUCCAUUUUAAGAUUUGAAGACAUUGGGUCAUCAUGGUCACUAAAUUUUCAAAUUUUUGAUUCAAUUCCAACAGAGCACCCUCAAAUAUCUCUUGCCGAUGAACAAGUACCUGGAGAUUUUAUUUUGUGGACUCCAAUUUAUUCUCCAAUCAGCUGGUAAGAGCUCUAAAGGAUGUGCCUAAAUCCCUUAUCUCCAAAUCCCGUUUCUUCCAAUCUUCAUCAACAACUUUGGCCCUUGUAUCCAUUACUAGUAAAUGCCCAGUUAAAUUUGCCUGCUAUGAUACCAUUUGUUAUGGUUGGAGCUCAACUUCAACCAAAACUUAGCUGGAACUUGCACCAGCAGAAUCCAGCUAAUUGAUAACCAAUUCAAAGAAGAAAAAUAAAAAUUAGGGUGGGGAAAAUGAUGAUAAAAAGAGAAGACAACAUAGAAUUUAGAUUGAAAGAAGGAGAACAGAGAAGCAAAGAGAAGGGGGGGAAUUCGGUUUUGCACCAAAGCUUUCAAUAUUCAUCCCUCUCUUCCAAAUGCAGAGAUACAACUAUAUAUAGAUGUAAACAACUACCCUAAAAGUAAAGCUUGGGCUAGCUCAAUUAAAUAAAAUAAAAGUAAAUGGG
Molecule: long non-coding RNA, 1795 nt
Filed under: Olea europaea subsp. europaea
Lineage: Eukaryota; Viridiplantae; Streptophyta; Magnoliopsida; Lamiales; Oleaceae
Source: RNAcentral